AUAAAGGUGAUCAAUAUGGAAAGGUAAAUAAAGGAAGUAUUGACUGGUUUCUAAAUGUGAUUGAGUUUGUAAGUGAAAGUGUCUCUGAUGGAAAUGACUUCAGAUCAAUGGAAACCCAAAGGUAAUGUUUGAGCCUCACUAAAUGUUCCUAACAACACAGAACUGUAUUAUUCCCAGUCGUCAUGGUAACGCCAUCAGUUGCCGGGCAGAUUUCACCUCAACAGGUUUCUGAAGCAGGAGCUCUGAGAACAGCUGAGUGCAGCGACACACACUGAUAACACACACAUUAGAGAGAUCAAUACAUCACUCAGAGUUACUUUAUUUUGUUACAUGUUCCUCCAUUAGAGAACAUUUUAAUUUGUUUCUUUUUAGAAAGCAGUAAACCAUUGAAUCUUUAGUUUCACAUCAAAUCCACUUUCCUCUAGUGUCUGAGACGCUAGUAGAAACCAAUACAUGUGUUGAUGGAAAGACGAGAAGACGGACAUUUGGGAGAUGGGUUUUUAUUGGAAAGUGAAACACGGACAGGAAAGGGUUAACAAUGCAGAGCGACUUCAUGUCACGUUCACCUCUGAACCCCAAACUAAAGAGAACGUCACAGUCCGCUGGCUCUGUACACAAAACCUCCCUGUCCCUAAAUCAUAGCAACAUUAUCAAAAUCACACACUAUUAUGUUUUAAAACCAAUUCAAGAGACAUGUUAUAAAUAAAGACACUUCUGAUUCAUUUAGAAAAGCUCAGAAAGGGAAAA
Molecule: long non-coding RNA, 747 nt
Organism: Trematomus bernacchii (emerald rockcod)
Lineage: Eukaryota; Metazoa; Chordata; Actinopteri; Perciformes; Nototheniidae
Exons: 2
Source: RefSeq, a predicted model, not a curated record